AUAAAUUGUACCAGGUAAUUCAUUUUGCCGUUCAGAGAGUCAUUAAGUUCUUCCCAGAAUAUAUGUGAUUGAUAUCCCUGGAGGUGAAAGGCUAAAGGAACCAUAUGGCAACAUGUUGCAUUCCGUAUGCUAUCUGCCCAUCCGUGCUUAAGCUGCCAUUAGCAACAUCUGUACCUUACGGAAAUCCAGCUGCGCCGACGACGGCUGACGGAAUUGUACUUGGGGGGGAAAUCUAGCUUAGCGCCAUUAACUUGAGACUUCGAGUCUAUCUACCAGGACGGAUGGAAGCUUUCACAAUUAGACGAGACGACACAAAUGCUUUAUUAAAGUUUAAUUUUGAACUCCCAAUUAACGAAACUGCAUUACAAAUCGACUGCAAUUUCCUAGAAGGCACAGCAAGUUCUCUGCCUGCCUGCCACGUGCGAGGGGCUCCAGGGCAAGCUUUCUCAGCUCCCGGCAGCAGAAAGGGGACGGUUCAGAGCUUGUCUCCGCAGCCCAGGAAGUCCCUAAAAUCCUCGCCAGCCCCUCCUUCCGCAGGGCGGGGGCCGUACAAGGACAGAACCCGAGGGGAGGGGGGCGGGGGAGUCCUCUAUUAUCUCGGCCUCCCGGGAGGAGCCUCGUCUAGUCAGUUACGCAGAAGUUUCUCUUUCGCUCUUCCCGCCACACACCCAGCUGGGCUUCCUGCGCGCAGGCGAGGGGGGCGAAGGAGCGGGGGAGACAGGAGUCCCGGCGGGGCUGCCCGGCGUUCACACGCACCCCGCUCCCCCUCCCCCACCCCACACAAAGCCCCGCUCCGGGUCCGGAUACGUUACCUGCCCGGCGCUCCCGGCCCCUUGGUCACCGCAUCCCCCGCUGGGCGCGCCUUGUGCGGCUCCCGCUCCCCGGGACGCAUAAAGUGGUGGCCCCUGGCAGGCUACAUCCCCCUCUCUCGUCAUGUUAGGGGGCAAGAGAGGGGAACCAGGGAAAGUGGAAGUGGAGGCUGGGGCAAGAGGAACUUACUGAUGAAAUUUAUAAAAAAAAAAAAAAAGAAAAGAAAAAGGAAAAGCAGCUGGCGGGGCCCGGGUCCUGGCCAGGGGCAGCAAAGGCCCAUCACCUUUCGGGGGUCGCGGGCGGGAGGGCGGGGGGUCGGGCAGCGGCCGCCCGCCCCCCUUCCCCGGCCCCCAGCGGCGGCAGCAGCUGCACACACAGAAGCCCAUUGUCGCCGGCGCCCGGCGCGCAGCCCCGCGGACUCGGCCCCGCGGCCAAGCGCGUCAGCGGCCCCGUCAGCCGGGCCGGGCUCCGUGACGCGCGCGCAGCCCGCGCUAUAAAUAACCCGCCGCCGGGCGGCUCGGGCGGCUUUCCAGUGACGCCGGGGCAGGGCGCGGGAGGAGGAGGAGGGCAGGAGGAAACAAUAAAACCUCCCUCCCGCCUCCCGAGCCUCCUUCCGCCCUCCCUCGGCCGCCCUCGGCCCUUCCCGCCGCGCUCCCCUGCCCCGCCCCGGCCAGCCCUGCGCCG
RNAcentral lists this long non-coding RNA (1494 nucleotides) under Equus asinus (donkey). RNAcentral describes it as "lncRNA (ENSEASG00005035259.1)". Lineage: Eukaryota; Metazoa; Chordata; Mammalia; Perissodactyla; Equidae. The record is from RNAcentral.